RNAcentral lists this ribosomal RNA (253 nucleotides) under uncultured bacterium. RNAcentral describes it as "partial 16S ribosomal RNA". It matches the Rfam family "Bacterial small subunit ribosomal RNA", at positions 524 to 776 of the family's 1533-position model. The record is from RNAcentral.
UACGUAGGGUCCGAGCGUUGUCCGGAGUUACUGGGCGUAAAGCGCGCGCAGGCGGCGGUGCUGGCCCGGCGUGAAAGCCCCCGGCUCAACCGGGGAGGGUCGUCGGGGACCGCACCGCUUGAGGGCGGUAGGGGCUGGUGGAAUGCCUGGUGUAGUGGUGAAAUGCGUAGAGAUCAGGCGGAACACCCGUGGCGAAGGCGGCCAGCUGGGCCGGUACUGACGCUGAGACGCGAAAGCGUGGGGAGCGAACAGG